Molecule: long non-coding RNA, 323 nt
Organism: Neopelma chrysocephalum (saffron-crested tyrant-manakin)
Lineage: Eukaryota; Metazoa; Chordata; Aves; Passeriformes; Pipridae
Exons: 3
Source: RefSeq, a predicted model, not a curated record
GAGGAGCAUUCAGAGCAAUGCACAGUCUUAACUUCUCUACUGCUGCUGCCCCCCAGGCUCUUCCUGGCUCAGCACAGCAGGAGAAAACAUGAGCUGAGCAGUGCACUGUCAUGGAGAAAUGGAGCAGGUGUUAAGGUUCAGAAAGAAAGCUGGAGUCACCAAAUAAAUUCCGGUACUAAAACAUAGCAGAAUGCAUACUGGAUCACUCAAAAGUGUUCAGGUGAGAGUUGUGUAAAAUUCACGACUUUCAAGCUGCUAUAGAAUUUCUCCAAAUUUCCAGGAAAAUAGGUGAAGAUAAAAGAGAGAGAAGACAAACUGAGAAA